AUUGAACGCUGGCGGCAUGCCUUACACAUGCAAGUCGAACGGUAACGCGGGGGCAACCCUGGCGACGAGUGGCGAACGGGUGAGUAAUACAUCGGAACGUACCCAGUAGUGGGGGAUAGCUCGGCGAAAGCCGGAUUAAUACCGCAUACGACCUAUGGGUGAAAGCGGGGGAUCGCAAGACCUCGCGCUAUUGGAGCGGCCGAUGUCGGAUUAGCUAGUUGGUGAGGUAAAGCUCACCAAGGCUACGAUCCGUAGCUGGUCUGAGAGGACGACCAGCCACACUGGGACUGAGACACGGCCCAGACUCCUACGGGAGGCAGCAGUGGGGAAUUUUGGACAAUGGGCGAAAGCCUGAUCCAGCCAUGCCGCGUGUGUGAAGAAGG
Molecule: ribosomal RNA, 383 nt
Filed under: uncultured bacterium
Lineage: Bacteria
Description: bacterial SSU rRNA
Rfam family: Bacterial small subunit ribosomal RNA
Source: RNAcentral